RNAcentral lists this ribosomal RNA (492 nucleotides) under uncultured bacterium. RNAcentral describes it as "partial 16S ribosomal RNA". It matches the Rfam family "Bacterial small subunit ribosomal RNA", at positions 29 to 507 of the family's 1533-position model. The record is from RNAcentral.
AGUGAACGCUGGCGGUAGGCCUAACACAUGCAAGUCGAACGGCAGCACAGUAAGAGCUUGCUCUUACGGGUGGCGAGUGGCGGACGGGUGAGGAAUACAUCGGAAUCUACUUUUUCGUGGGGGAUAACGUAGGGAAACUUACGCUAAUACCGCAUACGACCUACGGGUGAAAGCAGGGGAUCUUCGGACCUUGCGCGAUUGAAUGAGCCGAUGUCGGAUUAGCUAGUUGGCGGGGUAAAGGCCCACCAAGGCGACGAUCCGUAGCUGGUCUGAGAGGAUGAUCAGCCACCCUGGAACUGAGACACGGUCCAGACUCCUACGGGAGGCAGCAGUGGGGAAUAUUGGACAAUGGGCGCAAGCCUGAUCCAGCCAUACCGCGUGGGUGAAGAAGGCCUUCGGGUUGUAAAGCCCUUUUGUUGGGAAAGAAAAGCAGCAGGUUAAUACCACGCUGUUCUGACGGUACCCAAAGAAUAAGCACCGGCUAACUUCGUG